AGUUUGAUCCUGGCUCAAAACGAACGCUGGCGGCAUGCCUAACACAUGCAAGUCGAACGAUGCUUUCGGGCAUAGUGGCGCACGGGUGCGUAACGCGUGGGAAUCUGCCCCUGGGUACGGAAUAACAGUUAGAAAUGACUGCUAAUACCGUAUGAUGUCUUCGGACCAAAGAUUUAUCGCCCAGGGAUGAGCCCGCGUAGGAUUAGCUAGUUGGUGGGGUAAUGGCCUACCAAGGCGACGAUCCUUAGCUGGUCUGAGAGGAUGAUCAGCCACACUGGGACUGAGACACGGCCCANACUCCUACGGGAGGCAGCAGUGGGGAAUAUUGGACAAUGGGCGAAAGCCUGAUCCAGCAAUGCCGCGUGAGUGAUGAAGGCCUUAGGGUUGUAAAGCUCUUUUACCCGGGAAGAUAAUGACUGUACCGGGAGAAUAAGCCCCGGCUAACUCCGUGCCAGCAGCCGCGGUAAUACGGAGGGGGCUAGCGUUGUUCGGAAUUACUGGGCGUAAAGCGCACGUAGGCUGCUUUGUAAGUCAGAGGUGAAAGCCCGGGGCUCAACCCCGGAUGUGCCUUUGAGACUGCAGGGCUAGAACGUGCGAGAGGUGAGUGGAAUUCCGAGUGUAGAGGUGAAAUUCGUAGAUAUUCGGAAGAACACCAGUGGCGA
This 662-nucleotide ribosomal RNA is filed under the name uncultured eubacterium WD203. Its description in RNAcentral is "bacterial SSU rRNA". It matches the Rfam family "Bacterial small subunit ribosomal RNA", at positions 10 to 718 of the family's 1533-position model. The record is from RNAcentral.